GAUGAACGCUGGCGGCGUGCCUAAUACAUGCAAGUCGAGCGAACAGACGAGGAGCUUGCUCCUCUGACGUUAGCGGCGGACGUGUGAGUAACACGUGGAUAACCUACCUAUAAGACUGGGAUAACUUCGGGAAACCGGAGCUAAUACCGGAUAAUAUAUUGAACCGCAUGGUUCAAUAGUGAAAGACGGUUUUGCUGUCACUUAUAGAUGGAUCCGCGCCGCAUUAGCUAGUUGGUAAGGUAACGGCUUAUCAAGGCGACGAUGCGUAGCCGACCUGAGGGGGGGGUCGGCCGCACUGGAACUGAGACACGGUCCAGACUCCUACGAGAGGGAGCAGUAGGGAAUCUUCCGCAAUGGGCGAGAGCUUGGCGGAACAACGGCGAGUGAGUGAUGAAGGUCUUCGGAUCGUAAAAAUCUGUUAUUAGGGAAGAACAAAUGUGUAAGUAACUAUGCACGUCUUGACGGUAACUAAUCAGAAAGCCACGGCUAACUACGUG
Molecule: ribosomal RNA, 497 nt
Filed under: uncultured bacterium
Lineage: Bacteria
Description: partial 16S ribosomal RNA
Rfam family: Bacterial small subunit ribosomal RNA
Source: RNAcentral